Molecule: ribosomal RNA, 467 nt
Filed under: uncultured bacterium
Lineage: Bacteria
Description: bacterial SSU rRNA
Rfam family: Bacterial small subunit ribosomal RNA
Source: RNAcentral
AUUGAACGCUGGCGGCAUGCUUUACACAUGCAAGUCGAACGGCAGCGGGGGCUUCGGCCUGCCGGCGAGUGGCGAACGGGUGAGUAAUGCAUCGGAACGUGCCCAAGUCGUGGGGGAUAACGUAUCGAAAGGUACGCUAAUACCGCAUACGUCCUGAGGGAGAAAGCGGGGGAUCUUCGGACCUCGCGCGAUUGGAGCGGCCGAUGUCGGAUUAGCUAGUAGGUGAGGUAAAGGCUCACCUAGGCGACGAUCCGUAGCGGGUCUGAGAGGAUGAUCCGCCACACUGGGACUGAGACACGGCCCAGACUCCUACGGGAGGCAGCAGUGGGGAAUUUUGGACAAUGGGCGCAAGCCUGAUCCAGCCAUGCCGCGUGAGUGAAGAAGGCCUUCGGGUUGGUAAGACUCUUUCGGUCCCGGGAAGGAAAGUACGUGUUUUCUAACUAUAGGACAUGGAUGACGGUACCGGA